Long non-coding RNA from Centrocercus urophasianus (Greater sage-grouse), 3691 nucleotides. RefSeq lists it as uncharacterized. Lineage: Eukaryota; Metazoa; Chordata; Aves; Galliformes; Phasianidae. The record is from RefSeq and is a predicted model, not a curated record. The transcript is spliced from 4 exons.
GGAGCUCGUUCUGCGCGACCUUGCAAGCAAAGCAAACUCCUCCGGCCGAAGUUUCCAAAACUCCUCUCGGUUAACUCACUGCAAGUAGAAACCAUUUGUCACGCAGACUAGAGAGGUGUUUUCCGUGCAGCGGCUCUGAACGUGGGGCCGUACCCUUCUGGGCCACCCCGUUUGAGCCGAGCAGUGGUACCGGCGGGCGGGGGGGCCCUGGGCCGUGCUAUGGGAACGCGGGUGGCCGCGGCUGGAAGAGGCACUUCUCCGUUUGUAAAACUGCUGAGCUGGCAGUGACUUGUCUCGUGCUUUGUCCUGCGUAGGGAAUGGCUCGCGGCAACGCAGCGCGUGUGCACCGCGGAGCUCCUGGUGCGUGGCUGCUCCUGGCUACAGCAGCUGCCCUGGCACCGGAGGGAACGGGCCCCUUCACCAACGUGUGUUGUGGGUUAAAGCCCUCAGAAUACUGUGGGUGCGUGGAAUGCGUGAGGCUUUGCCUAUUGCCAGCAGCACGUAGCCCUGUUAUGCUGUUAGUCUUUCUUUCCGUCUUCACGGAGGUAGCUGAGAACAUUCACGUCAUGCUGUUUUCUUCCUCCUUCCUCAGAGAAGGGUUUGCUCACGUGCUUUGUUUUGGCAAUUGGCAUUAUUUCCUUCGGUGUACGCAUUUAUGUAUGUUUAUGUAGAAGUAAGUGUCUACAAAUACAGUGUGCUCGUGCAGAGUUCAUGGUGGUGAGACUUGCUUAGCUCUGUGCCCUAACCCCGUCUCCUGCCCAGAUGAGCGCUGUGCUCCUGGCUGCGUCUUGAAUGUGAGGAACAGAGCUGUCAUCCAGAAAUGCUGUGCUGAGGUCAACAGGAAGGGGGCCCAAGACCUGAGGUUUUACUCAGCAGUCUCCGAGGACACAAAGCAGAAAGCAGAGACAGAUGUCUGAUAGGGAUUGAAUGUGGGAUGGAAGUGUGCAGUGGUCACUGAUGAAAAGUAUAUUUGCUCCCAGGUAGAAUACAGAGAUACUCAUACAUGCUUUUCAGAGAGAUGAGAAACAGCAGUUCUGGAGCAACUGUCAGCAGUUCUGUUAGCAACUGCCACCGUGCUAGUAACUACCAUUUAUUAUACUACUACUACACUGCAUGACAUUUAUUAAAACAAUUAUUAAGACAGAGGCAUUAACUACAUUUAUACUUGCAUCCUCUAAGCAUCUUGCUUUAUAACACCCACCCUACCAAAAAUCAUUGUUCUGACUUGAGAUUCAUUGAGGAAGACAGUUCCUCCAUCAAGUGGUAAGGAAUGUUACAGUGCUGGCUCUGAAUGUAGAUGGAUCUAAUUCGGCUGUUUUUGAAGUGUAUGAUUCCCUAAAUAUGUUUAACCUUCUGUCUGACAUGUUGCCCUUACUGCAAGGAAAAUUUAUCAUUUCCAUAUUUUUUUAUAAAUAGGAUGAAGAUGUUAAUAGUUGCUAAAUUUACAGCAUAAAAACCCAACCAUUCUGUUUCUUUUACCAUCCCUCUUGUAUCAGCAGGCUCCUGGAGCCCUUUGUCCAUAGCUUCUAAAGAAAUAAGUCCAAAAUUUUAAUUUCACUUCCCACUGCAAGUGUUAUCUUAGUUGUUGAGUAAGACCCAGUCUCCCUGCAGGAAGCUGUUAUUAAUUCUAAUUUGAUGAAGCCUUCAUUUUCAACAGUAAUUAUAAUUAUCACCCAGUGUCUACUCACUCUCUUUCUUAGCAGGGGGGAAUAAUGGUACUGAUGGGAAUAAGAGCUCUCUUCCCUUCUCAUUGAGCAUAACUAUCCUUCUUUUUUCUUUGUUUAUAUCAAACUUCUCAAAGCAUCACGGCAUAGAAAUGCCAGUGGACAGCUACCAUUGUAAUUACCUGAUGUACAUUAUUUCUGCAAUCUAGACUGGUAAUACACACACUUCUGAAAAAAAAUUCUAAAUGGACUUGGAAUUGUGAGGCUGUUGGUAAUCAUACUCUGGUAAAGUCUGCAGCAGUGACUUGCAACAUGUGCAGAUAAUGCAGCAUGGAAGCAGAACAUGGAUCCAGCGUGAAUUCUAUCACAAGAUCUCAAGAUGUCAGUGUCUGUUUUGCUGCUGGGACAGAAGGAUGUCACAAGCAGGAAACUCAAAGUCCACUUGCAGAUUGAGACAGACUCUCCAUGACUUUCUGUUGACAGAAGGAAGGACUGAACUCCUUGAUGGCACCUAAGAGAAGGUUGAAAGAAGGUGAUUAAGAAGAUCACAGCUAUAGGACACCUGUACUUCUGUGAGCUUUGGUGUUUUUAGUAACAGUGGACCAUCCUGUGAUCUACAAAACAAAACUGCAAUAACGCCAAUUCUCACUUUUGAUCCUACUCACUGUCCAGUUCCAAAAUCACUGACUUAGCUUGUGGAACUUGAAGAGUAACUCAGUCCUUGCCCUGACAAGAAAUAGUCACCUCAGCAAACCUCAAGAUUUCCCCAGGUCUGGAGUUAGGAAGGUGACAUUAUUCCCAGCAGAGUCCUGAGCCAGUGACUCGUGAUGGAACAGCUAAACAGCUCCCAUACCCAUCUUUGACCAACAGAGUUCUAUCCAGACAUCUAAAUUGUAAACUACAUUCCUCCGAACUUUUGCUUGUCAGCAAAAAAAAAGAAGAAAACAAAUUUGUGCUGAUCUUGCAUGAGUCUUUGCCAGAUUUCCUGUACAAACUCACAAAGAGGAAGCAAAAUCUGAAAGUGAGAUGAGAAAAAGCUUGGAGCCUUCUAAAAUUCAUGGCCAAAAAGCUGAAGAAUGUUCUCUCCACUACUGCUACCAGGCAUUCAGAAAGACAGGCGAACCAGAAAGCUAAAUGCCUGAGUGAUCCCAUGACUGCAAUAAUAGUAAUAAUUAACAAUAAGUAAUUGCCAAUUGUAUUGCCCUUUUCAUUGCAGAGUUUGUGAUGACUUGCUUGUAAAUGUUUUGAGUUAAUGAUAACAUUUCUAUUGACUGUUUAACACAGACAUGUGCUUGAGUUAAGAGAAAAGACUUACAGAAUUUAUAACUAAAAGAUCCUGCAGGAUUUCAGACAUCUAGUUCCCUAGAAAUCUCCUGCUGGGAUUCAAUCUCCAUCUUUCAGGCAAGUCGUUGAUCUCUCAGCAGCUCAGGCACCUGUCUGAGGCUUGCAGUGUGGAUCAUGCAUGAGGAGAGGCUGGGUGCUCUUUCAGCAGCACAUGUGCUUUGGUGAAGGCUCCAUCUACGUGUCUGCAAAGGGAGUAGUACUUAAACCACUGUAAUCAACACAGUUAAAGUGUGCUAUGUGUUGCAAUGGUCUUGCAUGCACGGAUGGAAGGCUGUGCCAGGAAAAAAACAGUUAUUGAAGGAAGAAACAUUCCCUAAAUGCUGAGAAUAAUUAUGUCCAGGUUGUCUGCUUUCUCACUUUAUAGUGAUCUCGGUGUUACUUGCAUUACAUGUGGGAUGUUUCCCCCAGAUUUUUCCAGAUUUUGAACUGUAUUUUCAUCUAUGGUUAACAUUUUAUGAACAUAUUGGUCAGAUGUUCUCUCUCUUCAGCAGUAAUAUAUUCCAUAAUUGUGCAGUUUUAUAGGAAGAUUACAUGGUCUUAAAGUAGAAGUAAUCUCAAAUUAUAUGAAUUGAUAGUGAAAUAGGUAAAUACUCCCACCACUUUAGCUUCUAUGCUUUCCAGACUGUAGAUUUCCAGGAAUUAUGAAAAAGACUAGAAAAAUCGUCAGGUUUCAUGUUUUAAUG